Peromyscus californicus insignis is the source of this 129-nucleotide small nucleolar RNA. RefSeq annotates it as small nucleolar RNA SNORA33. Lineage: Eukaryota; Metazoa; Chordata; Mammalia; Rodentia; Cricetidae. The record is from RefSeq and is a predicted model, not a curated record. The transcript has a single exon.
AAGCUAGCAGUUAAUCUGCUUAUCUGAAUGUUUCUUCAAAAAUCUAGAAAGAGCUGGCAAUAAUGUUGUCAAGUAAUAAGCCUUAAGGACAAGUGACUGUCUUUAAGAUCCCUAAAAAUGGCUACAAUA